GCAUCGGUGGUUUAGUGGUAAAAUUAGCCGUUGCCAUUCGAAAGAGUUAAUUCGGCUAGCCCCGGGUUCGAUUCCCGGCCGAUGCA
This 86-nucleotide transfer RNA is filed under the name Lophiotrema nucula. It matches the Rfam family "tRNA". From Rfam's summary of the family: Transfer RNA (tRNA) molecules are approximately 80 nucleotides in length. Their secondary structure includes four short double-helical elements and three loops (D, anti-codon, and T loops). The record is from Rfam by way of RNAcentral. Lineage: Eukaryota; Fungi; Ascomycota; Dothideomycetes; Pleosporales; Lophiotremataceae.